UACGUAGGUGGCAAGCGUUGUCCGGAUUUACUGGGCGUAAAGGGCUUGUAGGCGGUUCGUUAAGUCCGGUGUGAAAUCUCCCGGCUCAACCGGGAUAGGUCACUGGAUACUGGCGGACUAGAGGGGGGUAGAGGAAGGCAGAAUUCCUGGUGUAGCGGUGAAAUGCGUAGAUAUCAGGAGGAAUACCAGUGGCGAAGGCGGCCUUCUGGGCCUACCCUGACGCUGAGGAGCGAAAGCGUGGGGAGCAAACCGG
RNAcentral lists this ribosomal RNA (253 nucleotides) under uncultured bacterium. RNAcentral's name for it is "partial 16S ribosomal RNA". It matches the Rfam family "Bacterial small subunit ribosomal RNA", at positions 524 to 776 of the family's 1533-position model. The record is from RNAcentral.